UUCAGGAAAAUAAAUUCUAUGAUGCUGUUGUAAAACCACCUCUGACUGGUCCGAUCCAAAGGCGGAGAUAACAAGCCUGAGAAGGUUUGAACCAGGAAAGCUGCCUCAUUCUACAGAAAGAUGGGCAAAGGGUUAAACCAAAAAAGCUACCUCGUUUUACAAAAAGACUGCAAAGGGUCUAAACCAAAAAAGUUGCCUCGUUUUACAAAAAGACUGCAAAGGUAAAAAUUUUCUUUCUCUUUUUUUUUUUUUAAAUUUUACCCUGAGCUUUUUAUUUUUUU
This is a long non-coding RNA of Gopherus evgoodei (Goodes thornscrub tortoise), 281 nucleotides long. RefSeq lists it as uncharacterized. NCBI's taxonomy places the organism in Eukaryota, Metazoa, Chordata, Testudines, Testudinidae. The transcript is spliced from 3 exons. The record is from RefSeq and is a predicted model, not a curated record.